AUAAAAGCCGAAUCCAGCUCAGGAGCGGGGGAACCAAGUUUUGGGGUGAAUGAUGAGGCGGCAGCAGGACAGUGGGAGAAGACCGCUUUCCAGCCGCAUCAAAAAGGGUGUUCUCUUCCCUAACCCGGCAGCUAACCUCGUAGGCGAAAUCAGAGAGGG
RNAcentral lists this small RNA (159 nucleotides) under uncultured Selenomonas sp. Its description in RNAcentral is "ydaO/yuaA leader". It matches the Rfam family "c-di-AMP riboswitch aptamer (ydaO/yuaA leader)". Rfam says of the family: This family represents a conserved RNA structure found upstream of the ydaO and yuaA genes in Bacillus subtilis and related genes in other bacteria. The ydaO/yuaA element is thought to act as a genetic "off" switch for the ydaO and yuaA genes in its native state. It is believed that the element may be triggered during osmotic shock leading to activation of ydaO, a predicted amino acid transporter gene, and members of the yuaA-yubG operon which code for KtrA and KtrB K+ transporters. Lineage: Bacteria; Bacillati; Bacillota; Negativicutes; Selenomonadales; Selenomonadaceae. The record is from RNAcentral.